This is an RNA transcript of Chrysochloris asiatica (Cape golden mole), 808 nucleotides long. It is a transcript of the gene named actin-related protein 2/3 complex subunit 3-like, with no coding region annotated. The record is from RefSeq and is a predicted model, not a curated record. NCBI's taxonomy places the organism in Eukaryota, Metazoa, Chordata, Mammalia, Afrosoricida, Chrysochloridae. The transcript is spliced from 2 exons.
AUGUCUUCUGUCUUCAGCCCAGCUGGCUUCAAAGGCAGUAAUCAUAGUUGGGUAGGGCGGGCAGAGGCCAUGAAGCCAGUGGAGUAUAAGCAAGAUACUUCCCAGUUGAGUUCCAGACUGGGUGCCACCAAGAUUCUGGCCUACCACUCUUCUCUCAUGGAUCCUGACACCAAACUCAUCGGAAACAUGGCACUGCUGCCUAUCAGAAGUCAGUUCAAAGGACCUGCCCCUCGAGAGACAAAAGAUACAGAUAUUGUGGAUGAGGCCAUCUAUUACUUCAAGGCCAAUGUCUUCUUCAAAAACUAUGAAAUUAAGAAUGAAGCGGAUAGGACCUUGAUCAAUAUAACUCUCUACAUUUCUGAAUGCCUAAAGAAACUCCAGAAGUGCAAUUCCAAAAGCCAAGGUGAGAAAGAAAUGUACACACUGGGCAUCACUAACUUCCCCACUCCUGGAGAGCCUGGGUUUCCACUUAAUGCCAUUUAUGCCAAGCCUGCAAACAAACAGAAAGACGAAGUGAUGAGAGCCUACUUAACAGCAGCUAAGACAAGACACCGGACUAAGAUUUUGGGAGAAAGUUUUUGACCCUCAGAAUGACAAACUUAGCAUGUGGUGGACUUGUUUUGUGAAGAGACAGUUCAUGAACAAGAGUCUUUCAGGACCUGGACAGUAAAGGGAACCCAGGGCACACUGUCCCCACAGUCAUAGGCAGCAUUUUACAGCAAGAUGUACACAGUUCUUUGUCUUCAUUUUGUAAAGUUUUAUACAGCAGAGAGAAGAGAGCAUGUGUUUACUUGAAAACUGCUUUAUC